RNAcentral lists this ribosomal RNA (281 nucleotides) under uncultured prokaryote. RNAcentral's name for it is "partial 16S ribosomal RNA". It matches the Rfam family "Bacterial small subunit ribosomal RNA", at positions 524 to 803 of the family's 1533-position model. The record is from RNAcentral.
UACGUAGGGGCGAGCGUUGUCCGGAAUGACUGGGCGUAAAGGGCGCGUAGACGGCUUUUUAAGUCUGGAGAGAAAGUCCUGCUUUCAAGGUGGGAAUUGCUUUGGAGACUGGAAGGCUUGAGUGCGGAAGAGGUAAGUGGAAUUCCCAGUGUAGCGGUGAAAUGCGUAGAGAUUGGGAAGAACACCAGUGGCGAAGGCGACUUACUGGGCCGUAACUGACGUUGAUGCGCGAAAGCGUGGGGAGCGAACAGGAUUAGAUACCCCCGUAGUCCCUGAGCGGG